This 508-nucleotide ribosomal RNA is filed under the name uncultured bacterium. RNAcentral's name for it is "partial 16S ribosomal RNA". It matches the Rfam family "Bacterial small subunit ribosomal RNA", at positions 28 to 507 of the family's 1533-position model. The record is from RNAcentral.
GACGAACGCUGGCGGCGUGCCUAAUACAUGCAAGUCGAACGCUUCUUUUCUCCCGAGUGCUUGCACUCAAUUGGAAAGCGGAGUGGCGGACGGGUGAGUAACACGUGGGUAACCUACCCAUCAGAGGGGGAUGACACUUGGAAACAGGUGCUAAUACCGCAUAACAGUUUAUGCCGCAUGGCAUAAGAGUGAAAGGCGCUUUCGGGUGUCGCUGAUGGAUGGACCCGCGGUGCAUUAGCUAGUUGGUGAGGUAACGGCUCACCAAGGCCACGAUGCAUAGCCGACCUGAGAGGGUGAUCGGCCACACUGGGACUGAGACACGGCCCAGACUCCUACGGGAGGCAGCAGUAGGGAAUCUUCGGCAAUGGACGAAAGUCUGACCGAGCAACGCCGCGUGAGUGAAGAAGGUUUUCGGAUCGUAAAACUCUGUUGUUAGAGAAGAACAAGGACGUUAGUAACUGAACGUCCCCUGACGGUAUCUAACCAGAAAGCCACGGCUAACUACGUG